UACAUAGACUGCGAGCGUUAUUCGGAUUCACUGGGCGUAAAGGGUGCGCAGGCGGCCGUGUGUGUGAGGCGUGAAAGCCCGGGGCUUAACCCCGGAAUUGCACCUCAAACUACACGGCUAGAGCAUUGGAGAGGGUAGCGGAAUUCACGGUGUAGCAGUGAAAUGCGUAGAUAUCGUGAGGAACAACAGAGGCGAAGGCGGCUACCUGGACAAUUGCUGACGCUCAGGCACGAAAGCGUGGGGAGCAAAAGGG
RNAcentral lists this ribosomal RNA (253 nucleotides) under uncultured bacterium. RNAcentral's name for it is "partial 16S ribosomal RNA". It matches the Rfam family "Bacterial small subunit ribosomal RNA", at positions 524 to 776 of the family's 1533-position model. The record is from RNAcentral.